UUAUUCUUUGCUCCAAAGUGACUGAACAGUCACUCCUUCGUUUUAUGUAAUAUUUUUGUAAAUCUCUUUCCGUUUUCAUCUAUCAUGGUUCAUUAUAUUAUAUAUCCCACCAUCCAAAUACAACAUGAGUAGAGUUACAUUGAGCAGGCUAAUAUAGAGAGUAGAGUCUCUGAAACAACAGAAAUACAACAUGAGCAUUCCAAGUGUGCUAGUUUUACCAGGUCCAGCUCAAGGACAUGUCUAUCCCAUGAUGAACUUCUCGCAAAAGUUGGUUGAGAAUGGAUGCAAAGUCUAUUUUGUGAACACAGACUUCAACCAUAAGCGAGUUGUGAGUUCCAUGGUUGAGCAACAAGAAAGCCUUGAUGAAUCACUGGUAAAGUUGGUUUCAAUCCCAGAUGGUUUAAGACCUGAGGAUGACAGAACAGAUUUUGUCAAGUUAUUUGAUGCUAUACUAAGCACCAUGCCUUCUAUGCUUCAGAGGAAAAUAGAAGAAAUUCAUUUGUAUGGUGAGGAUAGAAUCAGCUGUAUAGUUGCAGAUGUGAAUAUGGGAUGGGCUUUGAAUGUUGGGAACAAGUUGGGAAUCAAAGGAGCUCUCUUCUGGCCUGCAUCAGCUGCUAUGUUUGCCUUUCAAUGCAACAUCCCUGCACUUAUUGAUAAAGGGAUCAUAGAUUCUGAUGGAUUACCAAUCACUAAAAAGACAUUUCGGAUAUCACCAACUAUGCCUGUGAUGGACACAGAGACUCUUUUUUGGUCGAAUGUGGCUGACUCAAUAAAUCUUAAGAAAAUAGUUAAUUCUUUGAAGUACUGCGCAGGAACUACACAUUUGACAGAGUGGUGGCUUUGCAACACCACGUAUGAACUUGAACCUGGUGCAUUGUCCUUUGUUCCGAAGCUCCUACCAGUUGGUCCAUUGUUGAGAAGUUAUGACAAUAAAAAUGUAAAUGCAAGAUCAAUUGGUCAGUUCUGGGAAGAAGAUUUGUCCUGCAUGAGUUGGCUUGAUCAACAACCUCAUCAUACUGUGUUGUAUGUUGCCUUCGGUAGUUUUACUCUUUUGGAUCAAAACCAAUUCAAUGAACUAGCACUUGGACUAGACCUUACCAAUAGACCUUUUCUUUGGGUUGUGCGUCAAGAUUCCAAUUGUACCAAUAAGAUAGCAUACCCCAAUGAAUUCAUAGGCAGUCAAGGCAAGAUAGUUUCAUGGGCUCCACAACAAAAGGUGUUAAGGCACCCUGCCAUAGCUUGUUUUGUUAGCCAUUGUGGUUGGAAUUCAACCAUGGAAGGUUUUUCUAAUGGGGUGCCCUUCUUGUGCUGGCCUUAUUUUUCUGACCAAUUUUUUAACAAAAAAUACAUUUGUGAUGAGUUGAAAGUUGGACUUGGAUUUGACUCAGAUGAAAAUGGAUUGGUGUCACGCUUGGAGAUAAAAACAAAAGUGGACCAACUUCUUAGUGAUGAGAACAUAAGAUCAAGUUCCCUGAUGCUAAAGGAGAAGGUAACAUGCAACAUAGCAGAAGGAAGUCGCUCUUCAGAGAAUUUUAACAGGCUAAUAUAGAGAGUAGAGUCUCUGAAACAACAGAAAUACAACAUGAGCAUUCCAAGUGUGCUAGUUUUACCAGGUCCAGCUCAAGGACAUGUCUAUCCCAUGAUGAACUUCUCGCAAAAGUUGGUUGAGAAUGGAUGCAAAGUCUAUUUUGUGAACACAGACUUCAACCAUAAGCGAGUUGUGAGUUCCAUGGUUGAGCAACAAGAAAGCCUUGAUGAAUCACUGGUAAAGUUGGUUUCAAUCCCAGAUGGUUUAAGACCUGAGGAUGACAGAACAGAUUUUGUCAAGUUAUUUGAUGCUAUACUAAGCACCAUGCCUUCUAUGCUUCAGAGGAAAAUAGAAGAAAUUCAUUUGUAUGGUGAGGAUAGAAUCAGCUGUAUAGUUGCAGAUGUGAAUAUGGGAUGGGCUUUGAAUGUUGGGAACAAGUUGGGAAUCAAAGGAGCUCUCUUCUGGCCUGCAUCAGCUGCUAUGUUUGCCUUUCAAUGCAACAUCCCUGCACUUAUUGAUAAAGGGAUCAUAGAUUCUGAUGAUGGGGAGACAUCCAAGUAGGAGCAUCAUGGUAGACUUCGAGACCUUUAUUCCUAGAUAAGGCAGUUUGGGCUAACUUAUGGGCGCAGCAAUUGGACUUUCGAUAACUAAUAUGCUAAUAGAACUAAUUUUAAUCACCAUUACCUAACAUCACUUCAUGCAUUUGCUUAUAGCUUGAUAUAUGUGUAUACUGUUAGAUUUUUUAUAAUUAUUGUAGCCCCCAAUGAAUUGUAUUUAUUUUUUUGUUUUUAUAAAAAUGGGUUAAGUCGUGAUUCUUAUGAGGGUGCAGUAUAGAACCUGCUUAAUUCAGUGAUCCUUUUGUUUGGAUUUGAAUAUUUGUAAACUGAUUAGUGUGGGUAAUAGUGUAGGCCUAACUCAUAGGCUCAUGAUGAGAAAGGGACUAGGGUUAAUAAAUUUGGUUAGAUCCCCUUUGCAUCCUUAUAUGUUGAAAAAGAAAAACAACCGCUCUACAACUUGCCUUAUCAACAGUUGUGAUAAGGGAGUGGUGUAAACUGUAGAGAAAGAUCCUGGCCCUUCAACCUUUGCAGGAAUACCGGAGUAAGCACUACAACUGAGAUAUCAAGGAUUAUGUCGUUAACAAGUAAGUCUAAACGCUUUUGAUGUUUUAAUUUCAUAUAAUCUUAUUUUGUGAUUUCUUACAUUUGGUAUCAAAGUCUAGAUUACAUGAUUUAUGACACAGUAUUGGUUGAUUAAACAUGAGUAUAUCUUUGGGAUUGAACCAGUUUCCCUCGUGUUCUUGAAUGUAUAAUUUAAAUAAGGAAAAAUUAAACCCAAAAUUACAGGAUAUUAUUUUGAAUUUAUUUUAUCAUGAAUUUUGACGAGAGAAAUUCAAAAUUAAAGUCACCG
Gastrolobium bilobum is the source of this 2935-nucleotide RNA transcript. It is a transcript of the gene named UDP-glycosyltransferase 83A1-like, with no coding region annotated. NCBI's taxonomy places the organism in Eukaryota, Viridiplantae, Streptophyta, Magnoliopsida, Fabales, Fabaceae. The transcript has 4 exons. The record is from RefSeq and is a predicted model, not a curated record.